AACUGCCAACUUCUACUGACAGCCUUCUAGAAAAAACCCUGACAUUCAAUGUCUGGGUGAAGUAAUAGUAACAGGAAUCAUUGCCAUGAAGGGCAGUCUGUCAACUUGGGCGUGCAAACAACCAUCCUAAGAGCCUUUCUUGCUCUGAUAGGGAGAAAAAAAGGCUUCGGGGGCUACCAGAGGAGAAGAGGCCAUCACCUCGGACCAGCAGCAACACACUCUGAAGUAGGUCUCAGAAGACAAAAAGCUGAAAUCAACUCAUGCUUCCUGCUACACAGAAUCCACUGAGAGGAAAAGGAAACUUCACCGAAACUUCAGAAAGCUACAGAAAUGACAUCCAUUUUCACAAUCCCAGAAGGAAAGAUGCAUCUGAAGGGAAUAAAAACAGAGCAAUGGAAGAGUAUUUGUUAAAAUAAAUGGCUUUGACAGG
Long non-coding RNA from Homo sapiens (human), 430 nucleotides. Ensembl annotates it as long intergenic non-protein coding RNA 2608. The record is from Ensembl. NCBI's taxonomy places the organism in Eukaryota, Metazoa, Chordata, Mammalia, Primates, Hominidae.